This 487-nucleotide ribosomal RNA is filed under the name uncultured bacterium. RNAcentral describes it as "bacterial SSU rRNA". It matches the Rfam family "Bacterial small subunit ribosomal RNA", at positions 29 to 526 of the family's 1533-position model. The record is from RNAcentral.
AACGAACGCUGGCGGCGUGGAUAAGACAUGCAAGUCGAACGAAGCUUUGAGGGCUUGCUCUCAAAGCUUAGUGGCGAACGGGUGCGUAACACGUGAGUAAUCUGCCGGGAAAUGGGGGAUAGCUUGCCGAAAGGCAAAUUAAUACCGCAUGUGGCCAGGAAGGACAUCCUUCCAAAGCUAAAGUCGAAAGACGUUUCCUGAUGAGCUCGCGGCCUAUCAGCUAGUUGGUGAGGUAAUGGCUCACCAAGGCUAUGACGGGUAGCUGGUCUGAGAGGACGACCAGCCACACUGGAACUGAGACACGGUCCAGACACCUACGGGUGGCAGCAGUCGAGAAUUUUUCACAAUGGGGGGAACCCUGAUGGAGCGACGCCGCGUGGAGGAUGAAGGCCUUUUGGUUGUAAACUCCUGUCAAACGGGAACAAGAAAGUGAUAGUACCGUUAGAGGAAGAGACGGCUAACUCUGUGCCAGCAGCCGCAGUAAUAC